UCGAGGAUUAUUCGCAAUGGGCGAAAGCCUGACGAUGCGACGCUGCGUGAGCGAUGAAGGCCUUCGGGUCGUAAAGCUCUUUCGCGCAAGAACAAGGAAGAGAUGUGAAUAGCAUUUUGACUUGAGUGUACUGCGUAAAGAAGCACCGGCUAACUCCGUGCCAGCAGCUGCGGUAAUACGGAGAGUGCAAGCAUUAAUCGGAAUUAUUGGGCGUAAAGGGCGCGUAGGCGGAAAGAUAAGUCAGAUGUGAAAUUCCAAAGCUCAACUUUGGAGCUGCAUUUGAAACUAUGAUUCUAGAGGGAUGGCGGAGAAAACGGAAUUCCACGUGUAGCGGUGAAAUGCGUAGAUAUGUGGAAGAACACCAGUGGCGAAAGCGGUUUUCUAGCUUUAAACCUGACGCUGAGGCGCGAGAGCAAGGGGAGCAAACAGGAUUAGAUACCCGCGUAGUCC
This 450-nucleotide ribosomal RNA is filed under the name uncultured bacterium. RNAcentral's name for it is "bacterial SSU rRNA". It matches the Rfam family "Bacterial small subunit ribosomal RNA", at positions 355 to 796 of the family's 1533-position model. The record is from RNAcentral.